RNAcentral lists this transfer RNA (76 nucleotides) under Dictyobacter vulcani. RNAcentral describes it as "tRNA-Ala". It matches the Rfam family "tRNA". Rfam says of the family: Transfer RNA (tRNA) molecules are approximately 80 nucleotides in length. Their secondary structure includes four short double-helical elements and three loops (D, anti-codon, and T loops). Further hydrogen bonds mediate the characteristic L-shaped molecular structure. tRNAs have two regions of fundamental functional importance: the anti-codon, which is responsible for specific mRNA codon recognition, and the 3' end, to which the tRNAs corresponding amino acid is attached (by aminoacyl-tRNA synthetases). tRNAs cope with the degeneracy of the genetic code in two manners: having more than one tRNA (with a specific anti-codon) for a particular amino acid; and 'wobble' base-pairing, i.e. permitting non-standard base-pairing at the 3rd anti-codon position. Lineage: Bacteria; Bacillati; Chloroflexota; Ktedonobacteria; Ktedonobacterales; Dictyobacteraceae. The record is from RNAcentral.
GGGGACAUAGCUCAGUUGGUAGAGCAUCGCCUUUGCACGGCGGGGGUCAGGAGUUCGAGUCUCCUUGUCUCCACCA